Molecule: ribosomal RNA, 185 nt
Filed under: uncultured Actinomycetales bacterium
Lineage: Bacteria; Bacillati; Actinomycetota; Actinomycetes; Actinomycetales
Description: partial 16S ribosomal RNA
Rfam family: Bacterial small subunit ribosomal RNA
Source: RNAcentral
AAGCCUGGGAAACUGGGUCUAAUACCGGAUAGGACCAUGCUUUAGCGUGUGUGGUGGAAAGUUUUUCGGUGUAGGAUGAGCCCGCGGCCUAUCAGCUUGUUGGUGGGGUAAUGGCCUACCAAGGCGGCGACGGGUAGCCGGACUGAGAGGUUGGUCGGCCACAUUGGGACUGAGAUACGGCCCAG